GCCUCUCUUCCCUCAAACUCUAUAUACUUUGUCAUCUCCCCCACAAUCGAAGCUUGUCAUAAAAAAAAUUCACGGUCUUAGUAUUUGGAAAAACUACGAAAAUAUGGUCUUAAUGCAUCAAUCAAACUAGAUUUUUUUUUUAAAAAGGAAGAAACAAAAACAAAAAAUUGCAAGGAAUAAAAAUGUGAUAAAAAUAAAGAAAAAU
Molecule: long non-coding RNA, 205 nt
Filed under: Lathyrus oleraceus (garden pea)
Lineage: Eukaryota; Viridiplantae; Streptophyta; Magnoliopsida; Fabales; Fabaceae
Description: Pisum sativum (pea) long non-coding RNA (PSAT_LNC014750)
Source: RNAcentral